Molecule: non-coding RNA, 113 nt
Organism: Acanthosepion pharaonis
Lineage: Eukaryota; Metazoa; Mollusca; Cephalopoda; Sepiida; Sepiidae
Source: the annotation of a GenBank genome assembly
UUAUGACCAUAUCACGUUGAAACACCGGUUCUUGUACGAUCACCAAAGUUAAGAAACGUCGAAUCUGGUCAGUACCAAGAUGGGUGACUGCUUGGGAACACCAGGGGCUGUUA